This 455-nucleotide long non-coding RNA is filed under the name Helianthus annuus (common sunflower). Its description in RNAcentral is "sRNA HanXRQr2_Chr01g0033911". The record is from RNAcentral. Lineage: Eukaryota; Viridiplantae; Streptophyta; Magnoliopsida; Asterales; Asteraceae.
UUUGAACGUAAACUUCUCGUGAAUAAACAAGGCCAAAAGCAAACAAGGCAGCAUCAGGAAAUAAUGGCGAAAGGUGUCUUGAUCUUUAUCGUAGGAUCUACGAACAAUCCUGUGACGUCUUAUGUACCACACAAUAGAGAAAGAGCUGCCUAAGAAGAUCAAUUUCAUGGUAGUGUUGUAUACUGAGACAAAACCAGUAAAUAUAUCUAAGUAGCGAGUAGCAAACACCAGUGCAUAGAGCUCCUGCGUUUUCAAUGAUACUCCUGCAACGCAUGAUUUGAUGGUGUGAAUUUUGAGGAGCAAGACUAGAACACUCGCCAAAUGCGUCAUGUCACCUGCUAAUCUGAAUAUAUUCAUCUUCUCACCGCGACUGAUGAAAUCAGAUCAAUUGGUCAAAAACUGGAUGAGAUCAGCUUCGAAAACACACAAUUUCAAACGGAUCUCUCCAAAACGAC